AUGCAUCUCGAUGUAGAUCUUCUUGUACUUGGUCUUGUUGGGCGCGAUGCCGUUCUCCUCCAUGCACGCCACGAUCUCCAGCGCCUUCUUGAAGAAGGCGCCGCGCACGCACACGUCCGCCAGCGCGUCCAGGAGCUCCUCGUCCGGCUUCAGCGCCGGCUUGCCGUUGCCGGCCUCGCACCGCUCCUUCACCUCGUUCCACAGCAGCAGCGCCUCCCCCGGCUUCCGGGCGACGGCGAUCCCCUUGGCCAGGCUGCCGUACGUCGCCACGUCCGGCUGCACGCCGCUCUCUUUCAUCCUCUCCACCGUCUGCUUCGCCGUCUCCAGCAUCCCCUGCUGGCAGUACCCUUCCACCAGCAUGUUCCACGCCGGCCUGUCCACCGUCACCCUCGGGUCCUUCUCCAUCUCCUCGAACACCUUGUGCGCCACCUUGGGCUGCCCCGACGCCGCGAACGCCUUCAUCAGCGUCGUGUAGCUCACCGUCGACGGCGCGACCCCGCGCGUCCGCAUCUCGUUGAACAGGGCCAGCGCGCCGGCGCUGUCGUCCAUCAGGACGCACCCGUCGAUGAGGGUGUUGUACGUCACCACGUCCGCCUCGAUGCCGGCGUCCGUCGUCAUCUCCUCCAAGAGCUCCCUCGCCCUGCUCAUCUGCAGCUGCUGGCAGUACCCCUUGAUGAGCACGUUGUACGUCACCCGGCUCGCCGGGACCCCCGCUCUCGCCAUCUCGUCGAGCACGGCGUGCGCGCGCUCCAUGUCGCCGGCCGCCGCGAGGGUCGAUACCACCGUCGUGUACGUGACGUGGUCUGGCCGGCUCGCCGGCAUCGUCUCCCCCUCCCGCCGCAUGGCGCGCGCCAUGGCCACCACGUCGUCCACGCGCCCGGCGUUCAUGUACCCCUUCAUCAGCGUGGUGUACACCCUCGAGUUGGGUGGGUACGUCCUCGACAGCAACGGCGCCUCGGUGCCUUCCUCCGGCUUUGGCCCGACGAUGUCCUCGAGCACGUCGCUGUGCUCGUCGACGACGAUAGCAAUGCCCUUCUCGUCGUUUCCUUCCACUGCGACAUGCCUGAGCAGGAGGCAGACGUCGCUGCGGCCUUCCCGCAUGGCCUGCACGAUCCUCUCCGCCGUGGGGAUGUCGCCGAAGCCGACGUAGGCGGCGACGAGGGAGUGGAAGGUGGUGGCGCAGGGGGCGAGGCCGGAGGAGAGUAUCCGCUCGAGCACGCGCGCGACGAGGUCCCGGCGUCCGGCGCGCGCGCACAUCUUGAUGGCGACGUUGUAGGUGAGGGCGUCAGGGGCCGCGCCAGGCCAGCUGCGCAUCUCGUCGAACAGCUGGCGGAAGCGGCGGCAGUCGCCGGCGUCGGCGCAGGCGCUGAGCGCGGCGUUGAACGCGGCCGUGUCGGGGAGCGCGAAGGACGCCGAGCUGGAGUCCGGAGCGCGGCGGAGGUGGUGGAGAACGGCGUCGAAGAGGCGGAGCGCGUGGGCGGGGCGGAGACGGGAGAUGGCGGCGGUGUAGGCGCGGCGGUCGGGGAGGAGGCCACGGCGGAGCAUGGAGAGGAGGAGGGAGUAGGCGAGGUGGGCGCUGCCGGAGCGGGCCGCGGCGGAGGCGGCGAGGGAGAGGGAGUUGGCGUCGAGGAGUUUGAGGCCGCCCUGGGCGCGGAGGCGGUGCAGCAGGCCCGCGGCGCGGGAGAAGGUGUGGGAGGACGUGGACCUGUAGGAGAGCUGCGCGAGGAGGCGGGAGGCCGCGGUGGGGGACUCGGGGAGGGAGGGGGAGGCGGCGAAGAGGCGGUAGGCGGCGUCCGUUUCUCCGGCGCGGAGGAGAGCAAGGAGGGCGUCAUCGUCUUCGUGGGUAGUAGAGAGUGGUGGGGCGGGAGAAAUGGCCGAGUGGAGGGUGUGGUGGUUGCGCCAGGAAGUGGAGGAGGUGGCGGUGGCCGGCGAGAAUGGCGGUGGCGCGGGGAAGGGGGCAGCCGGAGGGCGGGGCUGGGGCUGGAGGCGGGGCUUGCCGUGCCCGUGCAGCAUGAUGGAUGCUCCGCUCCGCUCUGCACAGGGGUGGGGAGGAGAAGAGGAGAGGGAGGGGAUGACGCUGACGUGUUAAACUGUGAGUGUCUCAGACUCGAAUGCAAAAUCCUUUCUUCUUUUGUUUCUGCAGGUGGAGCCUCUCCCAAAUCGUGGCCGAAGCUGUACCAUGCUAGCUAA
RNAcentral lists this ribosomal RNA (2190 nucleotides) under Triticum aestivum (bread wheat). RNAcentral describes it as "partial small subunit ribosomal RNA". Lineage: Eukaryota; Viridiplantae; Streptophyta; Magnoliopsida; Poales; Poaceae. The record is from RNAcentral.